RNAcentral lists this long non-coding RNA (2821 nucleotides) under Homo sapiens (human). RNAcentral's name for it is "PREDICTED lncRNA (TCONS_00257690)". The record is from RNAcentral. Lineage: Eukaryota; Metazoa; Chordata; Mammalia; Primates; Hominidae.
AUAGUAGGUGCUCAAUAUGUGCUUGUUGAAUAAAUGUGUCAAUGUUUGAUGUACAGACCUUUUAUUAUGUUUGAUUUGCUGCCAGUGCUGCCUCCAAACACAGGAGUGCUUCAUGAGAUGUUCACAAAAGCUCUUAAAAUAUUCCACAAAAAUCUUAAAAUAUUUCAUGAGUUUUCUUUCCUGUAUUUUUAUAGCAGCAUCUGGAAUUUAGCCUGCAUAGGACCCUCUGUAAGCUGACCCUGUUUAUCUAUUCAGCUUUACUUCUCCCCUCUCUCCACUUUGUAUUUUAUUCUCUACUACUUCCAACUGAUUGUAAUUUGACCAGACUCCAGACUAUCUUAUGCCUCUUUGCUUUUGUUUACCUGUUACUUCUCUCUGGAAUUCCCUGCCCCUUCUUAAUUUUUCUGGCCAAUUCUCACUCUCUAGGACUCAGAGGUUUCUCCUCAGGAGACUUCCAUGAGUCUCAUGUUGAGUUAGGUGACCCCAAUCCUCUGUUCUUCAUAGUCAUUCGCGCAUUUAUCUAGCUCAGCAUUUGCCAUACUACAUUGAAAUUAUUUCCUUAUGUGCCCAUCACUCCCCGUAGAUUGCAAACUCCUAGAGAAGGGCUCAACAGUGAGUGCUGAGGCUGCACAGAGGAGGAAGGCAGCACAAUGAUGGAAGGCUUCCUAAAGAGAUAACACUAACAAAGUUGACCUUAGAAUUGGAGUGCCUGGGUUAGAACCCUGCUGGUACCACCUGCUUACUGCAUGCUUCUGAUGUGAGUUCAGGAGAAGACACUGGCAAGGACAGCAAAGAACAGGAGAACACUCUAGCUUCCCUGAUAGCAUUCAAGGUGCUGUCCAAAGUGACUGACUGUGAUGGCACCCUCCAGACAGACAGCGAUGCCACAUGUUCAAGAUGGCAGAAUCACUAUCAGCUUCAAUUCCUGAAUGACUGCAGAGCAAAAUUUCUUACCUGCAACAUACACUCUAUUUUCAGCCUCCCUGGACUGUUACAUAAUGAUACAUAAAAAUAUUUCUUGUGUUGAGGCAUCCCAAAUUUGAUUUAUUUGUCAUCACAGUCUAUCCUAUGAAUAUAUUUCUGAUCCAAAUAAUGCUAGAUUCAUGAGAGUUUAUAGUCCAGAGAUUUUUUUUUUUUUUUUGAGACAGAAUCUGUCUCCCAGGCUGGGGUGCAGUGGCAUAAUCUUAGCUCACUGCAACCUCUGCCUCCCGGGCUCAAGUGAUCCUCCCUCCUUAGCCUCCAUGAGUAGCUGGGACCACAGGUGUGCACCACCACACCCCGCUAAUUAUUUUGUAUUUUUUGCAGAGGGGGGUUUCACCACAUUGCCCAAGCUGGUCUCAAACUCCUAGACUUAAGGGAUCUGCCUGCCUUGGCCUCCCAAAAUGCUGAAAUUACACUUGUUAGCCAUAGUAAUAGUUCCUAGCCAUAGUCCGGAGAUAUUUUAAAAACUUUAGUGUGAGUUAUUUCUCUUUGCUAUAAUUCUCUCAUGCAUUUUGAAAACCUUUUCUGCCAUACAGUGGUUUUUGGGAAGUCCUUUUGGACAGACAUAUCACAGGAUGGAGAAACUAAAAAGAGAGAAUGCAUUAAAGAAAAAAUAGUACUUCGUAUUUCAGAAAUUACAAAAGGGUGUCAUGCCCCACAGCAUGGUGGGCAGUCAUUUGUAACCCACAGAACAUUGAGUUUCUAAAAUUUGAGUGUUUUUAACUUACGAAGGCCAACUUUACUGAUGAAGUGAUUACCCCAAAUAUGUGAAAUCCAUAUUUCAAGUACAAUAGUAGGAAAUUGGAAAUGGGCUCUUGAGUUUCUGCUUUCAAGUGACCCUCAGAAAUUCCUCCAUUCACUGCAGAGGUUCUGUUUCUCCUUGCUUUGUUCUGACUUUACGGCAGAACUAAGCUAAUGAGUUAGUUACUAUGGGUUAUCACUUGGAUUUGAAGAACCAUCAUUUCUAGGCAUUGCUGCUCAGAGUGGGUCUGCCCUCAGGGGAAGCUGUCUAACCAGAGCCUAACCCACUAGGGUUUUAUCAGAACCUAACUGACCUGAGGAAAAGAAAUACUCAACUCCAGCAAGCUCCAGCCUUCCAAAUGGAGGAGGAGAAAACCCAACUCCAGCCCACUUCAGCUAUCUUGUCCCACAUAAAGGGGAAGUGGAAGAAACCUGAGAAGCAGGCAUGAAGUUCACAGUCCAGAGGUAUACAAGCCACGCUGAACAUCUGAAAAUCAAUUCAUGUGAUCCAUCACAUUAGCAGACUCAAGAAAAAAAACCACAUUAUCAUAUCAGUAGAUGUAGAAAAAAAAAAUUAACAAAAUCCAGCACCCAUUCACAAUGAAAAUGCCCAGUAAAUUAGAAAUAGAAGGUAACUUCCUCAAAUUGAUAAGGAAUAUCUCUAAAAACCUACAACUAAAAUCAUACUUAAUGGUAGAAAACUAGAAGCCUUCCCAGUAAGAGUAAGAACAAGUCAAAGAUGUAUGCUCUCACCAAUGCUUUUCAACAUCAUAUUGGAAGUCCUAGCUAGUGCAAUAAGCAAAAAAAAAAAAAAAGUUAUAUUAAUAAGAACAAAAACUGUGUUUGUUUGCAGAUGACAUGAUUUUCUAUGCAAAAAAUUCAAAAUAAUCAACAACAAAAAAAUCCUGAAACUAAUAAAUGAUUAUAGCAAGAUUUCAGGAUAUGAGAUUUAUAUACAAAGGUCAAUUACUUUCAUAUAUACAAGCAAUGAACAAGAGGGAUUUGAAAUUAAAAACGAAACUAUUUACAUUAGUACCCCCAAAAUGAAAUCCUUAUGUAUAAACUUAACAAAAUAUGUACAAGAUACAUAUGAGAAAAA